This 253-nucleotide ribosomal RNA is filed under the name uncultured bacterium. RNAcentral describes it as "partial 16S ribosomal RNA". It matches the Rfam family "Bacterial small subunit ribosomal RNA", at positions 524 to 776 of the family's 1533-position model. The record is from RNAcentral.
UACGUAGGGUGCGAGCGUUAAUCGGAAUUACUGGGCGUAAAGCGCGCGUAGGUGGUUCAGUAAGUUGGAUGUGAAAUCCCCGGGCUCAACCUGGGAAUUGCAUUUGAAACUGGGAAACUAGAGUGUGUGAGAGGGGGGUAGAAUUCCAAGUGUAGCGGUGAAAUGCGUAGAGAUUUGGAGGAAUACCAGUGGCGAAGGCGGCCCCCUGGCACAACACUGACGCUCAGGUGCGAAAGCGUGGGGAGCAAACAGG